RNAcentral lists this ribosomal RNA (609 nucleotides) under Helix pomatia (Roman snail). RNAcentral's name for it is "partial 16S ribosomal RNA". The record is from RNAcentral. Lineage: Eukaryota; Metazoa; Mollusca; Gastropoda; Stylommatophora; Helicidae.
AGAUAUUAUCCCCUUGUAGUGUAGUUUAAUAACUAUCUACAUAAUAACUUAAUAUAAAGUAUAAUAGUUUAUAUUUUAUAAUAUGACAUUAACAAUUUUGUUUAAUAUUUGAAAAUGUUAGUAUUAGUAAUAUUAGUAUAUGUGCUAAAGGAACUCGGCAAAAAACCACUCAACUGUUUAUCAAAAACAUAGCUAUAUGAAUUAAUAUAUAGUUAUUUCUGCUCAAUGACUUAAAUAGCCGCAGUACUCUGACUGUGCAAAGGUAGCAUAAUCAGUUGGCUUUUAAUUAGAGUCUGGUAUGAACGAAAAUAUGGGUAGUAACUGUCUUAGCACAUUUUUUCGAACUUAUUAAACACGUGCAAAUGCUUGUAAUUUAACAAUAGACGAGAAGACCCUAGAAACUUGGACAAGUUUUUGUUGGGGCGACAGAAUUACACUUAACUAAUCUUAUAAUACACGACGCGAUGUUGAAAGAAUAAGUUACUCUAGGGAUAACAGCAUAAUUUUAUUAGUUUGUGACCUCGAUGUUGGACUAGGUACUAUACCCUUAAGGCAAGGAUAUAUUAUGCUCUGUUCGAGCAAAAUUACCUACAUGAUCUGAGUUCAGAC